RNAcentral lists this ribosomal RNA (583 nucleotides) under Tilletia caries (wheat bunt fungus). RNAcentral's name for it is "eukaryotic LSU rRNA". It matches the Rfam family "Eukaryotic large subunit ribosomal RNA", at positions 66 to 635 of the family's 3401-position model. Lineage: Eukaryota; Fungi; Basidiomycota; Exobasidiomycetes; Tilletiales; Tilletiaceae. The record is from RNAcentral.
UAACAAGGAUUCCCCUAGUAACGGCGAGUGAAGCGGGAUGAGCUCAAAUUUGAAAGCUGGCACCUUUGGUGUCCGCAUUGUAAUCUCGAGAAGUAGUUUCUGUGCCGGACCAUGUACAAGUUCCUUGGAAUAGGACAUCAGAGAGGGUGAGAAUCCCGUACUUGACAUGGACCCCGGUGCUUUGUGAUCUGCUCUCUAUGAGUCGAGUUGUUUGGGAAUGCAGCUCAAAAUGGGUGGUAAAUUCCAUCUAAAGCUAAAUAUUGGGGAGAGACCGAUAGCGAACAAGUACCGUGAGGGAAAGAUGAAAAGCACUUUGGAAAGAGAGUUAAACAGUACGUGAAAUUGUCAAAAGGGAAGCGCUUGAGGUUAGACAUGCAUGCAGUAUUCAACCUUUCUUUUGGGAUUGGCGUAUUUGCUGUUGUGCAGGCCAGCAUCGGUUUUGUCUGCUGGAUAAUAGUAGGAGAAAUGUGGCAUCUUCGGAUGUGUUAUAGUCUCGUAUUGGAUACAGUGGAUGGGACCGAGGACCGCAGUGUUCCGUAAGGCGGCUCUUCGGAGACCUUCGCACUUAGGAUGCUGGCGUAAU